UACGUAGGCAGCAAGCGUUGUUCGGAGUUACUGGGCGUAAAGGGUGUGUAGGCGGUUCUUUAAGUUUGCUGUGAAAUCUCCCGGCUUAACCGGGAGGGUGCGGUGAAUACUGAGGGACUGGAGUCCUGGAGAGGGUCGUGGAAUUCCCGGUGUAGCGGUGAAAUGCGUAGAGAUCGGGAGGAACACCAGCGGCGAAGGCGGCGACCUGGACAGGUACUGACACUCAACUACGAAAGCGUGGGGAGCAAACAGG
Molecule: ribosomal RNA, 253 nt
Filed under: uncultured bacterium
Lineage: Bacteria
Description: partial 16S ribosomal RNA
Rfam family: Bacterial small subunit ribosomal RNA
Source: RNAcentral